AACGAACGCUGGCGGCAUGCCUAACACAUGCAAGUCGAACGAGACCUUCGGGUCUAGUGGCGCACGGGUGCGUAACGCGUGGGAACCUGCCCUUAGGUUCGGAAUAACUCCCCGAAAGGGGUGCUAAUACCGGAUAAUGUCUUCGGACCAAAGAUUUAUCGCCUCUGGAUGGGCCCGCGUUGGAUUAGCUAGUUGGUAGGGUAAAAGCCUACCAAGGCGACGAUCCAUAGCUGGUCUGAGAGGAUGAUCAGCCACACUGGGACUGAGACACGGCCCAGACUCCUACGGGAGGCAGCAGUGGGGAAUAUUGGACAAUGGGCGAAAGCCUGAUCCAGCAAUGCCGCGUGAGUGAUGAAGGCCUUAGGGUUGUAAAGCUCUUUUACCCGGGAUGAUAAUGACAGUACCGGGAGAAUAAGCUCCGGCUAACUCUGUG
RNAcentral lists this ribosomal RNA (433 nucleotides) under uncultured bacterium. Its description in RNAcentral is "partial 16S ribosomal RNA". It matches the Rfam family "Bacterial small subunit ribosomal RNA", at positions 29 to 507 of the family's 1533-position model. The record is from RNAcentral.